CGCAUCUGGCGCAAUACUAUCUCC
This 24-nucleotide non-coding RNA is filed under the name Arabidopsis thaliana (thale cress). The record is from RNAcentral. Lineage: Eukaryota; Viridiplantae; Streptophyta; Magnoliopsida; Brassicales; Brassicaceae.